GGCGAACGGGUGAGUAAUAUAUUGGGACGUACCGAGUAAUGGGGGAUAACCAAUCGAAAGAAUUGGCUAAUACCGCAUACGCUCUGAGGAGGAAAGCAGGGGACCUUCGGGCCUUGCGUUAUUCGAGCGGCCAAUAUCUGAUUAGCUAGUUGGUGGGGUAAAGGCCUACUAAGGCGACGAUCAGUAGCGGGUCUGAGAGGAUGAUCCGCCACACUGGGACUGAGGCACGGCCCAG
RNAcentral lists this ribosomal RNA (235 nucleotides) under uncultured bacterium. Its description in RNAcentral is "partial 16S ribosomal RNA". It matches the Rfam family "Bacterial small subunit ribosomal RNA", at positions 97 to 334 of the family's 1533-position model. The record is from RNAcentral.